This 292-nucleotide long non-coding RNA is filed under the name Physcomitrium patens. RNAcentral describes it as "long non-coding RNA (PPAT_LNC002057)". Lineage: Eukaryota; Viridiplantae; Streptophyta; Bryopsida; Funariales; Funariaceae. The record is from RNAcentral.
GCCUCUUAAUUUAUUUUCUUAUCUUAAUAGCUAGUAGAUUAAAGCUUGAUUAGUAAUUUUUCCUUCAAAGCUAAAAAAAUUCUUUUAUUACUUUAGAAAAGCCAUGAAUUGAUAAAAACAUAAUAGAAGAGAUAAAUAAUAAAUACAAUUCAUAAUAAGAUUAAAUUGAUACUAGGACUAGGCUAAAAAUCUCCUAAGAUAGAUUGGAUUGAUACCUCAAAGUCGACUGUUUAUAGAAUAGGAUCAAAAUUAGACCUCUAGCUACUAAAAUGGCUGCCUCGGAUAAAAUAUG